GAGUUUGAUUCUGGCUCAGGAUGAACGCUAGCGAUAGGCUUAACACAUGCAAGUCGAGGGGCAGCAUGAACUUAGCUUGCUAAGUUUGAUGGCGACCGGCGCACGGGUGCGUAACGCGUAUGCAACUUGCCUUACAGAGGGGGAUAACCCGUUGAAAGACGGACUAAUACCGCAUAUACUUAUUCGGUUGCAUGACCGGGCAAGGAAAUAUUUAUAGCUGUAAGAUAGGCAUGCGUCCCAUUAGCUAGUUGGUGAGGUAACGGCUCACCAAGGCAACGAUGGGUAGGGGAACUGAGAGGUUUAUCCCCCACACUGGUACUGAGACACGGACCAGACUCCUACGGGAGGCAGCAGUGAGGAAUAUUGGUCAAUGGGCGAGAGCCUGAACCAGCCAAGUCGCGUGAAGGAAGACUGUCCUAAGGAUUGUAAACUUCUUUUAUACGGGAAUAAACGGGCGAUA
This 460-nucleotide ribosomal RNA is filed under the name Porphyromonas gulae. RNAcentral describes it as "bacterial SSU rRNA". It matches the Rfam family "Bacterial small subunit ribosomal RNA", at positions 9 to 459 of the family's 1533-position model. The record is from RNAcentral. Lineage: Bacteria; Pseudomonadati; Bacteroidota; Bacteroidia; Bacteroidales; Porphyromonadaceae.